This is an RNA transcript of Sebastes umbrosus (honeycomb rockfish), 1673 nucleotides long. It is a transcript of the gene named keratin, type I cytoskeletal 18-like, with no coding region annotated. The record is from RefSeq and is a predicted model, not a curated record. The transcript is spliced from 7 exons. NCBI's taxonomy places the organism in Eukaryota, Metazoa, Chordata, Actinopteri, Perciformes, Sebastidae.
CUUCCCCCUGCCAGCGUCACUUUUUAAGCCGCCCAGCAGUGUGUCUCCACAUCUCAUUUUUCACUUCAUUCUCUGCGGUGCCUAAAACUUCUCCACAAUGAGCUUCAAAAGAUCCAGCGUGAUGCAGACCCGCUCCCAGCCCCAGCACCGUGCUUUCAGCAUUUCUGGCGGUGCUGGAGGAUAUGGCUCCCGCAUCUCCUCUGUGGCCUCACCGUCCCUGCGGUCUGGUGCCCCUAUGACCUCUUCAUCUUCCUUCAAGCUGAGCAGUGGAAUGGGUGGUGGUAUGGGUGGUGGUAUGGGUGGUGGUAUGGGCUCAGGUUUUGGUGGUGCCGGUGCAUCCAAGGCUGGUGGUGGUGGCGGUGCCGGUGCUGGGAUCAUUGGCAACGAGAGGGGAGCCAUGCAGAACCUGAACGACCGCCUGGCCAACUACCUGGAGACGGUGAGGAACCUGGAACAGGCCAACCAGGAGCUGGAGAUGAAGAUCAUGGAGGCUAUGGAGAAGGGAGGGCCCAGCUCGAGAGACUACAGCAAGUACGAACCCAUCAUCGAGGACCUACGCAGACAGAUCUUCGAUAAGAUUUUGGAGAACGCUCGCUUUGUGCUCCAGAUCGACAAUGCCCGUCUUGCUGCUGACGACUUCAAAGUGAAGUUCGACAAUGAGAUGGCAAUCCGCCAGUCUGUGGAGGCCGAUAUCGCUGGGCUGAAGAGAGUCAUAGAUGACACCAACAUGACCAGGAUGAACAUCGAGAGUGAGAUUGAGAACGUGAGGGAGGAGCUCGCCUUCCUGAAGAAGAACCAUGAGAACGAAGUGAUGGAGCUGAGGAAUCAGAUCUCGCAGUCAGGCGUGCAAGUGGACGUUGACGCUCCCAAAGGUCAGGACCUGGCCCAGGUCAUGCAGGACGUGAGGGGCAACUAUGAGAAGAUCGCCGUGAAGAACGCAGAAGACCUCAAACGGUGGCAUGAAAAUCAGAUUGCAGAUGUGCAGGUGGAGGUAUCGCAGAACACAGAAGCUCUCCAGGGAGCCCAAACGGAGAAGAGUGACCUAUCCAGACAGUUACAGACCCUGGAAAUUGAACUUGCAUCACAACAGAGCUUAAGAGCCUCCUUAGAGGACACACUACGCAACACAGAGCACCGAAACAACAUGGAAAUGGAGAGGUACAACACCAUCAUUAUGCGCCUGGAGGAGGAGCUGACCAACUUGCGUGCAAACAUCCAGCAGCAGACCCAAGACUACGAGGCGCUGCUCAACAUGAAGAUGAAACUGGAAGCCGAGAUUGCCACUUACAAGAGCCUGCUGGAUGGUGAUGACUUCAAGUAAGAGUUAGGUGUUGGAGAAAAGAAACAGAUCCAAGCAAGGUGUUGAUGGUGGUGGAGGCUCCAGGAUGCCCUGGGUGAGCUGGCAGCCACAAGCUAAUUUGGAACAAAGAAUCUGGGUCCAUCCCAACAUCGAAAGCAGAAAAAGCCACAACUAUUCAUUAUGGAAAACAUUCCAUGCUGGUCCAAUCAGCUAAAGCCAGUUUUGAACCAAAACCACAUUCUGUGUAAGCCAUAAAUGAGUUAAGCAAUUCUGAGUAAAGGCACCGCAGUGAAACAGGCAGGCUAUUUGAAAAGCAACCGUUGCCUGACCUGAAAGCAAAAUAAAAAUGAAUAAAACCACAUGUUGACACACA